CCGUACCCAUCCCGAACACGGAAGAUAAGCUCACCAGCGUUUCGGGGAGUACUGGAGUGGGCGACCCUCUGGGAAAUCCGAUUCGCCGCCACCA
This 94-nucleotide ribosomal RNA is filed under the name Halobacteriales archaeon QS_6_64_34. Lineage: Archaea; Methanobacteriati; Methanobacteriota; Halobacteria; Halobacteriales. The record is from RNAcentral.